Molecule: ribosomal RNA, 263 nt
Filed under: uncultured Streptococcaceae bacterium
Lineage: Bacteria; Bacillati; Bacillota; Bacilli; Lactobacillales; Streptococcaceae
Description: partial 16S ribosomal RNA
Rfam family: Bacterial small subunit ribosomal RNA
Source: RNAcentral
CGGAUUUAUUGGGCGUAAAGCGAGCGCAGGCGGUUAGAUAAGUCUGAAGUUAAAGGCUGUGGCUUAACCAUAGUACGCUUUGGAAACUGUUUAACUUGAGUGCAGAAGGGGAGAGUGGAAUUCCAUGUGUAGCGGUGAAAUGCGUAGAUAUAUGGAGGAACACCGGUGGCGAAAGCGGCUCUCUGGUCUGUAACUGACGCUGAGGCUCGAAAGCGUGGGGAGCAAACAGGAUUAGAUACCCUGGUAGUCAAGGGCGAAUUCGC